GACGAACGCUGGCGGCGUGCUUAACACAUGCAAGUCGAGCGGAGCGGCGAACGGGUGAGUAACGCGUGAGUAACUGCCCCCCUCUCUGGGAUAACAGUUGGAAACGGCUGCUAAUACCGGAUAGUGGGGGAUGACUCGCGUCCUAUCAGCUUGUGGGUGGGGUAGUGGCCUACCAAGGCGACGACGGGUAGCCGGCCUGAGAGGGCGACCGGCCACAUUGGGCUGAUGUACGGCACAAACUCCUACGGGGGGCAGCGGGGGGGAAUGUGGCACAGGGGGGGAACCCCUGAUGCAGAACCGCCGCGUGGGGGAUGACGGCCUUCGGGUUGUAACCCGCUUUCAGCCAGGAAGCGGUAGGGGAAGAAGAAGCACCGGCUAACUCCGGGCCAGCAGCCGCGGUAAUAC
RNAcentral lists this ribosomal RNA (405 nucleotides) under uncultured bacterium. RNAcentral's name for it is "partial 16S ribosomal RNA". It matches the Rfam family "Bacterial small subunit ribosomal RNA", at positions 28 to 526 of the family's 1533-position model. The record is from RNAcentral.